Long non-coding RNA from Ursus thibetanus thibetanus, 3368 nucleotides. NCBI's taxonomy places the organism in Eukaryota, Metazoa, Chordata, Mammalia, Carnivora, Ursidae. The record is from Ensembl.
ACACGUAUGAUUUCAACCGUAGCAUAUUCUGAAAAAGGCAAACUAUGAAGAAAGGAAAAAGCAGUAGUUGCCAGGGAUCCAGGGGUAGAGGGAGGGACGACUAGGUGGAACACGGGAAUUUUAGGGCAGUGAAACUAUUCUGUAUGAUACUGUAAUGGUGGACACAUGGCAUUACAUGUUUGUUAAAACCCACAGAACUGUACAACACGAAGAGUCAACCCCGAUGUAAACUACGGAGCUUAAUUAGUAAUAAUGCAUCAAUAUUAGGUCAUCAGUUGUAAAAAAAAGUACUACAUUAAUGCAAGAUGUUGAUAAUAGGGAGAACUAUGUGCAUGGUGGGGUGGAGGGAGGAGGGAAAACAGAGUAUAUGGGAAUUCCCUAUACUUUCCACACAAUUUUUCUGUGAACCUCGAGUUGCUCUAAAAAAUAGUUUAUUAAUUAAAAAAGAAUGUCCAAAAAAAGAGAGGGUUAUUGUGAGGAUUAAUGAGUUAAUAUAAAUAAAACACUUAGAAAAAAUGCCUGGUACUGGCACUGAAUAAAUAUUAUUAUUGUUAUUAUUAUUCCUAAUCUCUAUCGCUUCUUUGGAGGUGAUCCAAACAUUUGUCUGGGAGCAGCCUGAAGUUUUGGUGGGAAAUUUAGUGUGACCUUGGCCAGAUAACAUGAACUCUUUGUACCACCAUUUCCUCCUCUAUAAAGUGGGGAUGCAAAUUAUACCUACUUCUUAGGUUGUUGUAAAGAAUUAAUGGGUCAAUGCAUAUAAAAGGUUCAGAACAGUGCCAGGCAUGUAAGUGUACCCUAAAUAGAGCUACUUGUGCUACUGUUUCUAAUGCUUGACCUCCCAACCCUCAGUACUCUAUGGAACUCUGCUCAAGCCCAUCACCUAAUUUUCGUUUUCUUUGCUUGCCCCCAUUUUAGCACAAGAACUUAUGUUUGACCUCGGUAGGGGAUGUAGCACACUGAGAUGCUCAAUAUCUGCUGAACAAAAGGACAGAGCUAUAGAACUGAAACCUGGACACCUCACCUGCAAGGAGGCCUUCAGCGUUCAAAGUUGUGAGAGCAUGUACAUUAUGCAGGUUUUAACGUGCAGUCCAAAUGACGAGAAGCACAGUUGUCUUGCCAUGCUGGUCACCUCAGGGGCUCUCUAUCAUCUCCAAGACCAAGUAGAAAGUUUGUAUUUUUGGUUUAUGUAAGCCACAUGUCAGCUGUGGAUCUGUGACCCACUGAGACCGAAAUAGGAUCACCUCAAUUCUAGGAAAUUCAUGUUUGUCUCCAAGAUCUCUGUGUCUCUGCAUCUUCUGCAUGAAUACUCCUACUUCUGGGCUCAGCUUUUAUUGGGUAGUGCCACUGCAGGUAUGUAAUUCUGCUUUGUAAGUUCUUUAAGCAUUUAAGAACUGCCCCCCCCCAAUUUGGCUUUGAGGUUAGCUGACUUAAAGCUAAUUUGGGGGAGAUUUCUAUUGUAUCAGUGCAAAUGACUUCAAAUUGAACAUUGGAUAUUCUUUUUUUUUUUUUUUAAGAUUUUAUUUAUUUAUUCGACAGAGAGAGAGACAGCCAGCGAGAGAGGGAACACAAGCAGGGGGAGUGGGAGAGGAAGAAGCAGGCUCCCAGCGGAGGAGCCUGAUGAGAGGCUCUAUCCCAGGACUCUGGGAUCAUGCCCUGAGCCAAAGGCAGACGCUUAACGACUGAGCCACCCAGGCGCCCCAGAUAUUCUUUUUGUGAAAUGCCUUUUAGCUACUCCCACAUUACUGGACUUUUACCCUACAUGGUCUCCAACUGUGCAUCGUAUCUCUGAUUCUCCUCUUACCCUCCCUGUUUAGAAGCUAAAAUAUAUUUCUUUCUUUGCUUUAGGAAGACCACUCUAGCCACUUUCUAAAAUAUUUACCAUGAUGCCUGCUGAUAUUCAUACUCUUUGGUCUACCAAUAAGCAGCAGUCCAAAUAUUGGCUCAAAAAAUUACAGUAACCUCCCCAAGAGGAAUUCUGGUGCCAACUGUUAAGACAAUACAUUUGUUGCUUCCAUUGACCUAAGUUUUGCUUACAUUUCCAGCCUCAUCUCCCCACUAGUGUACGUGCUAUUUCUGCUAUCAACAUACUAUGUUUUUCUUCAUUUCCGUAUUUUAAAAAGUGUCACUACUUCUGCUUNNNNNNNNNNGUGAGCGAGAGAGAGCACAGAGGGAGAGGGAGAAGCAGACUUGAUGCCAAAAGGAGAGCCUGAUGCGGGACUCGAUCUCAAGACCCUGAGACAAUGAUCUGAGCUGAAGGCAGACGCUUUAACCGACUGAGCCACCAGAAAUAUAUAUAUUUAAAGGGAAAGUCGUGCCUCUUAUACGAUAUAAAAUUCUUUAAAAAUCAAAGAUUUUAUAUAACUCAUUAAUUAAUGUGGGAACUAUAAGAUGCUACAACACGUUCAAAGGACAGUCUAGAGAGCAGAAACAUGUAUGGGCCAUACAAGCCAUCAAGAACACAGAGAUAAAUUUGCUUCAGAAAUGCAAAACUGGUUUAUUCCACAUUGGGGGAGGAAGACCAAUGGAAGCUCCAUCAGAAGAAAAUGCAUUUGUGCACCUCUGGACAAAAUUAAUCUGCACUGCUCUAAGUUGUCCACAAAUUACAGAGUUAUAAGUAGCUCAAAGGCCACGAAGGGCACAAAGACCCCAUAAAACCAGAUAUCUUUGGAGGAUGUGCUAGACACCACUUGGUUUUCAUUAAACACACCCAGUAAUCUUUUUGGUGCAUUUCCAAGGAAUUCACAAUUUUUCUUUGUACUCCCUUUCUCUUCCUCUACCAUCUUCUGCUCCUUUCUUCCUCUCUUUGCUCCCAUUUCUAGUUCCCAGUGGUUGACUCAGACCUUUCUACAUAGUCUCAACCUGUGUACUUAAUAACCUGUCUACAGUUUGUGCAGAAUCUGUAUCACUAGCUUGCUAAACAGUGGGUUUUUUUAAAAAAAAAUUAUUUCUUUCUCCUUUUGAACAGAAUUGGUAAACCAUUUGUGUGCUUAGGCCUCUGGUUACUCUGGUGUUUCAUUCUGCUGGGUUUGGAGGCUUGAAUUAACUUGAACUGGCUGUACGGUUUCUUAAUACAUUUUUUCCAUAUCUUAGACUUCAAUUUCUUCUGUACGAUGUUGGAAGGUUGAAUUAAUUCAAAUAUUAUUUUCUCUAACAAAGAAGGUAAGACCAAAAGGGACUUUGAGGAAUUCCAUAUUUUCUGUCAUUUGAUGCAUUUUUAUGCAAACAUAUUCUAUAAAUAGUCAUCCUCUGCUUUAUAUAUUCAUUUACUUGCUCUAAGAAUAAGGUUUGGUUGCCUGUAACAUUUAUCACAAUUCUCAGAAUAUUAAGGGAGUUAGUUUCUGGCACUUGGUUUAUAAGUUAAUACAACU